This 1396-nucleotide ribosomal RNA is filed under the name bacterium NLAE-zl-P419. RNAcentral describes it as "bacterial SSU rRNA". It matches the Rfam family "Bacterial small subunit ribosomal RNA". The record is from RNAcentral.
GAGCUUACCAUGCAGUCUACUUGAUCCUUCGGGUGAAGGUGGCGGACGGGUGAGUAACGCGUAAAGAACUUGCCUUACAGACUGGGACAACAUUUGGAAACGAAUGCUAAUACCGGAUAUUAUGACUGAGUCGCAUGAUUUGGUUAUGAAAGCUAUAUGCGCUGUGAGAGAGCUUUGCGUCCCAUUAGUUAGUUGGUGAGGUAACGGCUCACCAAGACGAUGAUGGGUAGCCGGCCUGAGAGGGUGAACGGCCACAAGGGGACUGAGACACGGCCCUUACUCCUACGGGAGGCAGCAGUGGGGAAUAUUGGACAAUGGACCAAAAGUCUGAUCCAGCAAUUCUGUGUGCACGAUGAAGUUUUUCGGAAUGUAAAGUGCUUUCAGUUGGGAAGAAGUCAGUGACGGUACCAACAGAAGAAGCGACGGCUAAAUACGUGCCAGCAGCCGCGGUAAUACGUAUGUCGCAAGCGUUAUCCGGAUUUAUUGGGCGUAAAGCGCGUCUAGGCGGUUUAGUAAGUCUGAUGUGAAAAUGCGGGGCUCAACCCCGUAUUGCGUUGGAAACUGUUAAACUAGAGUACUGGAGAGGUAGGCGGAACUACAAGUGUAGAGGUGAAAUUCGUAGAUAUUUGUAGGAAUGCCGAUGGGGAAGCCAGCCUACUGGACAGAUACUGACGCUAAAGCGCGAAAGCGUGGGUAGCAAACAGGAUUAGAUACCCUGGUAGUCCACGCCGUAAACGAUGAUUACUAGGUGUUGGGGGUCGAACCUCAGCGCCCAAGCUAACGCGAUAAGUAAUCCGCCUGGGGAGUACGUACGCAAGUAUGAAACUCAAAGGAAUUGACGGGGACCCGCACAAGCGGUGGAGCAUGUGGUUUAAUUCGACGCAACGCGAGGAACCUUACCAGCGUUUGACAUCCCAAGAAGUUAACAGAGAUGUUUUCGUGCCUCUUCGGAGGAACUUGGUGACAGGUGGUGCAUGGCUGUCCUNCAGCUCGUGUCGUGAGAUGUUGGGUUAAGUCCCGCAACGAGCGCAACCCCUUUCGUAUGUUACCAUCAUUAAGUUGGGGACUCAUGCGAGACUGCCUGCGAUGAGCAGGAGGAAGGUGGGGAUGACGUCAAGUCAUCAUGCCCCUUAUACGCUGGGCUACACACGUGCUACAAUGGGUAGUACAGAGAGCUGCAAACCUGCGAGGGUAAGCUAAUCUCAUAAAACUAUUCUUAGUUCGGAUUGUACUCUGCAACUCGAGUACAUGAAGUUGGAAUCGCUAGUAAUCGCAAAUCAGCUAUGUUGCGGUGAAUACGUUCUCGGGUCUUGUACACACCGCCCGUCACACCAUCGAGAGUUGGUUGCACCUGAAGUAACCAGGCCUAACCGUAAGGACGGGAUUUCCAGGGUGU